Molecule: ribosomal RNA, 751 nt
Filed under: uncultured microorganism
Description: SSU rRNA
Rfam family: Bacterial small subunit ribosomal RNA
Source: RNAcentral
CUUGCUAAUUUGCUGACGACCGGCGCACGGGUGCGUAACGCGUAUACAAUCUACCUUUUGCUGAGGGAUAGCCCAGAGAAAUUUGGAUUAACACCUCAUGGUAUCAUCGAUUGGCAUCGAUUGGUGAUUAAAGGUUACGGCAAAAGAUGAGUAUGCGUCCUAUUAGCUAGAUGGUGUGGUAACGGCACACCAUGGCAACGAUAGGUAGGGGCCCUGAGAGGGGGAUCCCCCACACUGGUACUGAGACACGGACCAGACUCCUACGGGAGGCAGCAGUGAGGAAUAUUGGUCAAUGGACGAAAGUCUGAACCAGCCAUGCCGCGUGCAGGAAGACUGCCCUAUGGGUUGUAAACUGCUUUUAUAUAGGAAGAAACCCAGAUACGUGUAUCUGGCUGACGGUACUAUAAGAAUAAGCAUCGGCUAACUCCGUGCCAGCAGCCGCGGUAAUACGGAGGAUGCAAGCGUUAUCCGGAAUCAUUGGGUUUAAAGGGUCCGUAGGUGGAUUAAUAAGUCAGAGGUGAAAUCCUGCAGCUCAACUGUAGAACUGCCUUUGAUACUGUUAAUCUUGAGUCAUUAUGAAGUGGUUAGAAUGAGUAGUGUAGCGGUGAAAUGCAUAGAUAUUACUCAGAAUACCGAUUGCGAAGGCAGAUCACUAAUAAUGUACUGACACUGAGGGACGAAAGCGUGGGGAGCGAACAGGAUUAGAUACCCUGGUAGUCCACGCCGUAAACGAUGGAUACUAGCUGUUGGG